RNAcentral lists this ribosomal RNA (375 nucleotides) under uncultured bacterium. Its description in RNAcentral is "partial 16S ribosomal RNA". It matches the Rfam family "Bacterial small subunit ribosomal RNA", at positions 338 to 710 of the family's 1533-position model. The record is from RNAcentral.
CCUACGGGUGGCAGCAGUGAGGAAUAUUGGUCAAUGGGCGCGAGCCUGACCCAGCCAAGUCGCGUGAGGGAUGACUGCCCUACGGGUUUUAAACUUCUUUUAUAAAGGAAUAAAGUCAGGCACGUGUUCCUUUUUGUAUUUACUUUAUCAAUAAGGAUCGGCUAACUCCGUGCCAGCAGCCGCGGUAAUACGGAGGAUCCGAGCGUUAUCCGGAUUUAUUGGGUUUAAAGGGAGCGUAGAUGGGUUGUUAAGUCAGUUGUGAAAGUUUGGGGCUCAACCGUAAAAUUGCAAUUGAUACUGGCAGACUGGAGUAUAGUAGAGGUAAGUGGAAUUCGUGGUGUAGCGGUGAAAUGCUUAGAUAUCAGGAAGAACUCC